Molecule: long non-coding RNA, 2343 nt
Filed under: Olea europaea subsp. europaea
Lineage: Eukaryota; Viridiplantae; Streptophyta; Magnoliopsida; Lamiales; Oleaceae
Rfam family: Small nucleolar RNA SNORD25 (bases 1249-1331)
Source: RNAcentral
UAUUGAUGUUGAAAUUUGUUAUUAUUAACAGGGAAAGGGAACCGGAAGUUUUGGUAAGCGAAGGAACAAAACUCACACACUGUGUGUGAGAUGCGGCCGCCGCAGCUUCCACAUCCAGAAGAGCCGUUGCUCCGCCUGUGCUUACCCCGCCGCACGCAUAAGGAAAUGUACGUGUUUAUGUUUCUGCUGUGAUUUUGUCAGUUAUGAAGAGAAUAAAAAAAUACGUUUCAAUUUGUGAAUCGGAAUGGAAGUUGAAGGACAUACUUUUUUAAUUUGGGAAUUGAACUAGGGAAAGCUACUUAAUGAUUAUAAGAGCAGAGGUGGAUAUUUUGACAUUCGACUGUUCACCAAAAGCUCAUAUUAUGGGUAAAGUAAAAACUUUACUAAAUUAUGUGAUUGCACCUAUGGCAAAUGACCUAGAAUUUUCGAAGGACAAUGUUUCUGGAGUAUUUUUGUAUUUGACUAACCGAAAAAUGUAGAUUCACGCACACUAUUAUAGGGCUGUAGGAUUUGUUAAAUUUCAUGAACUGGGGUUUUAGAUUGAAUAAAAUGAAUUUAAGCUUGCUAUCCAGUUGGCAAUAUCUGUUCUUUUCCAACUGGAUUCUUUCCCCUAAAGCAAAAGUGAGCCUGUCAUAAUUUUACCAAUCUAUGUUAUCUUAGCUAAUUUAAUUGCAUAUUUGAUAUUCAUGAUUUGAUAUUUGUUGCCUAUGGAAGUACGGAACAACAGUGAUGAUUCAUACAGACCUGUAAUGAUUUGCGAGCAUGAUCGCAAGCAAUAAUGAACAUCUAAGGGACUGAGUUGUUCACCAUCUUCAUCAAUCCUAUUUUUUGUUUUUGGAAUAUCUUGAAAUAUCAGGGAUGUCUAUAUUUUGGAAUCUAUAUUACAAUGAUACUUAAUAUAAAAUUAUGGAUUGCUUAAAGCUUUAAACAGUUUUUAAAAUAUGCAGUCACUCAUUUGAGAAUGAGAACUCUGUAGGUGGUAACUAAGUAGAAAAUAAACUGAAAAGGGUCAAAAAAAUAAAAAGAACUGUAUAAAAUUUUUUUGACUGUGACUAUCUGGUUGGCAGGAUCGGCGUAUUUCUGACCAACUCCUUCCCUGGAAGUGAGAGUGACUGUGUGCAUCCUUGAGUUGCUUUUAGAAAACGCUGGGACAGCUAUAUUUAUACAGUUACGCUGCUUUUUUCUUUUAUCUGAUAUAUAAUAUAUAUUUUACUAUUCUUGGCUCAUAAAUUCUCAUGGUGUGUAUAGAACAACUGUGAUGAACUCUACAGACCUGUAAUGAUUUGCGAAUAUGAUCGCAAGUUAAUGAACAUCUAAGGGACUGAGUUGUUUGUCAAUUGUACACGCCAAUCUUAUAUUUUUCUUUUUUGUCUAUAAUAUUUGUGGCAGUUCUGUCUUUAAAAAUACACUUGUGUUUUUUGCACUUUUGCAGAAUUAUCAUUUUGAUGAUUGGUGAUUUAUUUAGUCUUUGUUUGAUGGCCAUUAUUGAGAAAAAAAAUGAUAUUUUGGAUAGUGAUUAUUUGGAGAAUGUGUGGUUAAAAAGUAGAGAAAAGUUUUGUGCUUGCGUGCAAAAUAUUUUAUUGUGUGAAUGUAUUGUUGAAAAUGAAUAUUAGAAUUAAAGAGUUUUGGUUUAAAGGGAGCCAAACAGUGGCUUAAUAUAUUAGCUUUCCGUUCAUAGAUAACUGGAGUGUCAAGGCUAUACGAAGAAAGACCACUGGAACUGGUCGUAUGAGAUAUCUCCGUCAUGUAGCUGUUAGGUUCAAGAGCAACUUCAGAGAAGGUAAAUGGAAUUUGAUUUUCCUUUUCAUCUACAUUUGUUAUUUGAAAGAGUGUCAAGUUUAUAAUGUUGAUUUGCAACGUAUCUCUAACUGCUAGGCACUCAAGCACCUCCAAGAAAGAAGGGCGCAGCUGCUGCCUCCUAAGGUUUUGAAGGAAAUCCCGAGUUUUUUUAGCAUCUAUGUAUCUUUAUUUUUGUGAGAGAAUCGAGUUUUGGUUUAUACAGUGUUGGUUAUCAACCAGUGAAGAUACUUCGGUUAUCAGUAUGCUUUUGGGUGAUGAUUGAGGUCUCAAUGCAAUCACAAAUUGAUUACAACGGAAAAUGUUUGUGUUUUCUAAUGGAUGAUCAAGAGUGUCAUCACAUUAAUUUCACUCUAUUUCAGCCACAUUAUUUUCUAAGAAUGCAUUUAGAAAUAAUAGAUUGAUUGAGAAUGUGUGAUUAAAAAUAAGAAUUUUUUUUGGAUUUGCGUAUAAUAUUAUUUUAUUAAAAAUUGUGUGGUUGAAAAUGAGAAAAAUGUAUUGGGUUAUGCAUGAUGUCCAUUAGGGUGUCCACCCUUCUCACAUGGA